UACGUAGGGGCCUAGCGUUGUCCGGAUUUAUUGGGCGUAAAGAGCUCGUAGGCGGCGCGGUAAGUCGGGUGUGAAAUCUCGGAGCUUAACUCCGAAACUGCAUUCGAUACUGCCGUGCUUGAGGACUGGAGAGGAGACUGGAAUUUACGGUGUAGCGGUGAAAUGCGUAGAUAUCGUAAGGAAGACCAGUGACGAAGGCGGGUCUCUGGACAGUUCCUGACGCUGAGGCACGAAGGUCAGGGGAGCAAACGGG
RNAcentral lists this ribosomal RNA (253 nucleotides) under uncultured bacterium. Its description in RNAcentral is "partial 16S ribosomal RNA". It matches the Rfam family "Bacterial small subunit ribosomal RNA", at positions 524 to 776 of the family's 1533-position model. The record is from RNAcentral.